GAGACCCCAAAAACCAGGAGUAGAAGGAUCGGUGAUAGAGAGGAAAAAAGAAGCACAGCAGAAGCAACAGCAGGAUGAAACGAAGGUUGCGGAAGAGAAAGGCUCGCUAGAGACAGAAAGGGUGUCCAACGCACACACUUCCUCUGAUUGCUCAUCGUUCUCUUUUCAAUCUUUUUCGUGGCUGUUGGGCUGGGCGCCUUUCUU
Caenorhabditis elegans is the source of this 204-nucleotide non-coding RNA. NCBI's taxonomy places the organism in Eukaryota, Metazoa, Nematoda, Chromadorea, Rhabditida, Rhabditidae. The record is from Ensembl.